GAUGAACGCUGGCGGCGUGCCUAAUACAUGCAAGUCGAGCGAACAGACGAGGAGCUUGCUCCUUUGACGUUAGCGGCGGACGGGUGAGUAACACGUGGAUAACCUACCUAUAAGACUGGGAUAACUUCGGGAAACCGGAGCUAAUACCGGAUAAUAUAUUGAACCGCAUGGUUCAAUAGUGAAAGACGGUUUUGCUGUCACUUAUAGAUGGAUCCGCGCCGCAUUAGCUAGUUGGUAAGGUAACGGCUUACCAAGGCGACGAUGCGUAGCCGACCUGAGAGGGUGAUCGGCCACACUGGAACUGAGACACGGUCCAGACUCCUACGGGAGGCAGCAGUAGGGAAUCUUCCGCAAUGGGCGAAAGCCUGACGGAGCAACGCCGCGUGAGUGAUGAAGGUCUUCGGAUCGUAAAACUCUGUUAUUAGGGAAGAACAAAUGUGUAAGUAACUGUGCACGUCUUGACGGUACCUAAUCAGAAAGCCACGGCUAACUACGUG
This 497-nucleotide ribosomal RNA is filed under the name uncultured bacterium. RNAcentral describes it as "partial 16S ribosomal RNA". It matches the Rfam family "Bacterial small subunit ribosomal RNA", at positions 28 to 507 of the family's 1533-position model. The record is from RNAcentral.